GGGGAUAUAGCUCAGUUGGUAGAUUGUAUUCCUAGCAUGCACAAGGCCCUGGGUUUAAUCCCCAGCAUUACCA
Molecule: transfer RNA, 73 nt
Filed under: Marmota monax (woodchuck)
Lineage: Eukaryota; Metazoa; Chordata; Mammalia; Rodentia; Sciuridae
Description: tRNA.Ala
Source: RNAcentral